RNAcentral lists this ribosomal RNA (465 nucleotides) under Vreelandella stevensii. RNAcentral describes it as "partial 16S ribosomal RNA". It matches the Rfam family "Bacterial small subunit ribosomal RNA", at positions 338 to 795 of the family's 1533-position model. Lineage: Bacteria; Pseudomonadati; Pseudomonadota; Gammaproteobacteria; Oceanospirillales; Halomonadaceae. The record is from RNAcentral.
CCUACGGGCGGCAGCAGUGGGGAAUAUUGGACAAUGGGCGAAAGCCUGAUCCAGCCAUGCCGCGUGUGUGAAGAAGGCCUUCGGGUUGUAAAGCACUUUCAGUGGGGAAGAAAGCCUUGGGGCUAAUACCCUCGAGGAAGGACAUCACCCACAGAAGAAGCACCGGCUAACUCCGUGCCAGCAGCCGCGGUAAUACGGAGGGUGUGAGCGUUAAUCGGAAUUACUGGGCGUAAAGCGCGCGUCGGCGGUCUGAUAAGCCGGUUGUGAAAGCCCCGGGCUCAACCUGGGAACGGCAUCCGGAACUGUCAGGCUAGAGUGCAGGAGAGGAAGGUAGAAUUCCCGGUGUAGCAGUGAAAUGCGUAGAGAUCGGGAGGAAUACCAGUGGCGAAGGCGGCCUUCUGGACUGACACUGACGCUGAGGUGCGAAAGCGUGGGUAGCAAACAGGAUUAGAUACCCGUGUAGUC